CCUACGGGUGGCAGCAGUGGGGAAUAUUGGACAAUGGGCGAAAGCCUGAUCCAGCCAUGCCGCGUGUGUGAAGAAGGCCUUCGGGUUGUAAAGCACUUUCAGUGGGGAAGAAAGCCUUGGGGCUAAUACCCUCGAGGAAGGACAUCACCCACAGAAGAAGCACCGGCUAACUCCGUGCCAGCAGCCGCGGUAAUACGGAGGGUGCGAGCGUUAAUCGGAAUUACUGGGCGUAAAGCGCGCGUAGGCGGUCUGAUAAGCCGGUUGUGAAAGCCCCGGGCUCAACCUGGGAACGGCAUCCGGAACUGGCAGGCUAGAGGGCAGGAGAGGAAGGUAGAAUUCCCGGUGUAGGGGUGAAAGGCGUAGAGAUCGGGAGGAAUACCAGUGGCGAAGGCGGCCUUCUGGACUGACACUGACGCUGAGGUGCGAAAGCGUGGGUAGCAAACAGGAUUAGAUACCCCGGUAGUC
This 465-nucleotide ribosomal RNA is filed under the name Vreelandella stevensii. Its description in RNAcentral is "partial 16S ribosomal RNA". It matches the Rfam family "Bacterial small subunit ribosomal RNA", at positions 338 to 795 of the family's 1533-position model. The record is from RNAcentral. Lineage: Bacteria; Pseudomonadati; Pseudomonadota; Gammaproteobacteria; Oceanospirillales; Halomonadaceae.